CCAAUAGCGUAUAUUAAAGUUGUUGCAGUUAAAAAGCUCGUAGUUGAAUUUCGGGAUCGACGGGUCGGUCGCGCCUCUGGUGUGUACUGGCCCUGUCGGCUUCUCCCUUCUGACGACCCACGAUGUCAUUAAUUUGGUGUCGUGGGAAAUCAGGACUGUUACUUUGAAAAAAUUAGAGUGUUUAAAGCAGGCAUUCGCUUGAAUACAUUAGCAUGGAAUAAUGAAAUAGGACGUUUGAUUCUAUUUUGUUUGUUUCUAGGAUCGACGUAAUGAUUAAUAGGGAUAGUUGGGGGCAUUAGUAUUCAAUUGUCAGAGGUGAAAUUCUUGGAUUUAUUGAAGACUAACUACUGCGAAAGCAUUUGCCAAGGAUGUUUUCAUUAAUCAAGAACGAAAGUUAGGGGAUCGAAGACGAUCAGAUACCGUCGUAGUCUUAACCAUAAACUAUGCCGACUAGGGAUCGGAUGAUGUUAAUUUUUUAAUGACUCAUUCGGCGCCUUACG
This 500-nucleotide ribosomal RNA is filed under the name uncultured Glomeromycotina. RNAcentral's name for it is "partial small subunit ribosomal RNA". It matches the Rfam family "Eukaryotic small subunit ribosomal RNA", at positions 591 to 1092 of the family's 1831-position model. Lineage: Eukaryota; Fungi; Glomeromycota. The record is from RNAcentral.